GGGGAAUUAGCUCAGGUGGGAGAGCGCCUGCUUUGCAAGCAGGAGGUCACCGGGUCGACCCCGGUAUUCUCCA
Molecule: transfer RNA, 73 nt
Filed under: SAR324 cluster bacterium
Lineage: Bacteria; Deltaproteobacteria
Description: tRNA-Ala
Rfam family: tRNA
About the family: Transfer RNA (tRNA) molecules are approximately 80 nucleotides in length. Their secondary structure includes four short double-helical elements and three loops (D, anti-codon, and T loops). Further hydrogen bonds mediate the characteristic L-shaped molecular structure. tRNAs have two regions of fundamental functional importance: the anti-codon, which is responsible for specific mRNA codon recognition, and the 3' end, to which the tRNAs corresponding amino acid is attached (by aminoacyl-tRNA synthetases). tRNAs cope with the degeneracy of the genetic code in two manners: having more than one tRNA (with a specific anti-codon) for a particular amino acid; and 'wobble' base-pairing, i.e. permitting non-standard base-pairing at the 3rd anti-codon position.
Source: RNAcentral